GCUUAGUUAAAGCUGCUCCGCCUUCGCUCUCCACUUUCCCCCCUCCUUCCCUGAAAAUCCAUUUUCUCUCUCUUCCAAAUUACUUUUCAUAUUCUGUUCUUUUGCAAUGUGAAAUGAAAUUUCUCAGCACUUUCCAACUUUCUCUUCAAAAUACCAUUUUAACUUUCUUGGAAUUUUUUGUCAAACUGCAUAGAAAUUUGUGAUUUGAGUUCACUCUGCUAUCUGAAAUGUCUGAACCGGGUAUAUACUUAAUAACUGAAUCUUUUUUUGGGUUGGUGCAUUUACUGGGUUUUGGGCUAAAGUAUGUCCGUGUUUCUUGUUUUUAUUUGGGUGUGUUCUUGUUUGAAUUUUGGAGCUGCUAAAAUUGGCUUUUAUGUUUGGUUAUGAUGUUUUCUGGUUCUGGGUUUCUUUUGGGUGUUUGUUUUAUUCGAUACUUGUUAGUGCUUCUGCAUUGAUAUGUAUGUGUUAUAUGUUUUGUUAUUCUGUUUGCAUGAGUAUGCAUGUGCUUCUUUUUUGGUUUUGUUUGUUUUUAAUAUUCAUGCAAGGGAAAAGAUAUUAUUUCAUUAAUUCUGUUCAGAUUUGAAAGAUAUUAAAACAGGAGAUUUAAUGAUGAAAUCCUAGCAAGGUGUGUCAUGGGUGAUCUUAGCAAUGACAACUUUAUUUUGGUAUUUUGCAUUUGUUUAAGAAGGGAUAUCCUAAUGUGGGUUCCUCUGAUGUGUUCAUGUUUUUAAAAAUUCUGUAAGUUUGAUAUUAUAAAUUUUAUUUUGCAUUUGGUUUCGUAAACGCAUGAUAGUUUUGGGCAUAUUUUGGGGUGUAGCAACUUGCAUUGAAAGGGUGAUGACUGAUGAAUGGCACAAUGAUGCGUCUAUAAUCUUAAGCUUUAUGAUGGAUUUUUUAUCUUCUACUUGUUGGCCAUAUGCACACUGCUGAACCACUACAUCAUGCCCCGUCAUUCUGCCAAUUAUGCUUGCUUUACUAUGCUAAUUAUCAACGAGAAUUUGAAUAAACAAACAUGAGAGACAAACUCAGAUUGUGCUCUGAGCUUUACGUGUAACAAACUUGCUUGAUUCUUGGAUUACAUACAUUUAUUCUUUUUUCCGUGAAAGUAAAUUAAUGAAAAUGUGGCAAAAAGAUUAGGUAACUGAUUCCACAAAUGGAUCAAUCUCUUUUGUGUAUGAAAUUGGUCCUUACCUAAUGGUUAAUUUAAAAACAAAUUUUCUGUUUGGAAUGUGGUUUGUUCCUCUAUGUCGUAACAUUAAUUUGUUAAUUGCAAUUUAUGCUUUCGGUCUGCUGAUUGUGAAGUUCGAUGGCACUUAAAUGUUCUUAAUUGUUAUGUUUAGCAUGGGAAGAAAUGCUAGAAAUCAGGCAACUAGAAUGCAAUUCCAGAACUCUGGUGAAUGCAUCUAAGGACGGCUCAAAAUUUUCAAACGAGAGUCUGAAACUGUUUUCAGAUGACCUUCUCCAGGUGUGGUGACUUUUUAAAUUAAAUUGAACAAUUAUAUGUUUCCUUUUACAUCUUUUCUGCAGUU
RNAcentral lists this long non-coding RNA (1529 nucleotides) under Panax ginseng (ginseng). Its description in RNAcentral is "long non-coding RNA (PGIN_LNC002121)". Lineage: Eukaryota; Viridiplantae; Streptophyta; Magnoliopsida; Apiales; Araliaceae. The record is from RNAcentral.